This 171-nucleotide ribosomal RNA is filed under the name uncultured bacterium. Its description in RNAcentral is "partial 16S ribosomal RNA". It matches the Rfam family "Bacterial small subunit ribosomal RNA", at positions 338 to 524 of the family's 1533-position model. The record is from RNAcentral.
CCUACGGGAGGCAGCAGUGAGGAAUUUUCCGCAAUGGGCGAAAGCCUGACGGAGCAAUGCCGCGUGGAGGAGGAAGGCCUGUGGGUCGUAAACUCCUUUUCUCAGAGAAGAAGUUCUGACGGUAUCUGAGGAAUAAGCAUCGGCUAACUCUGUGCCAGCAGCCGCGGUAAU